GGCCUCUCUUCCUGGGGCUGCAGGGGGUUUAUUUUCUCCCCAGCCUGGGCUGGAGGCCAACCCUUGAGGAUCAUUGUCAGGGCUGCCAUGAGCUGGGCAGCCUUGUAUUUCUACCUCAAUCAUUU
Non-coding RNA from Molossus molossus (Pallas's mastiff bat), 125 nucleotides. NCBI's taxonomy places the organism in Eukaryota, Metazoa, Chordata, Mammalia, Chiroptera, Molossidae. The record is from RefSeq and is a predicted model, not a curated record.